CCCAGUUCGGAUUGCAGGCUGCAACCCGCCUGCAUGAAGUUGGAAUCGCUAGUAAUCGCGGAUCAGCAUGCCGCGGUGAAUACGUUCCCGGGCCUUGUACACACCGCCCGUCACACCAUGAGAGUCGGGAACACCCGAAGUCCGUAGCCUGACCGCAAGGGGGCGCGGCCGAAGGUGGGUUCGAUAAUUGGGGUGAAGUCGUAACAAGGUAGC
RNAcentral lists this ribosomal RNA (213 nucleotides) under uncultured bacterium. Its description in RNAcentral is "partial 16S ribosomal RNA". It matches the Rfam family "Bacterial small subunit ribosomal RNA", at positions 1287 to 1500 of the family's 1533-position model. The record is from RNAcentral.